AACGAACGCUGGCGGCAUGCCUAACACAUGCAAGUCGAACGAGACCUUCGGGUCUAGUGGCGCACGGGUGCGUAACGCGUGGGAACCUGCCCUUAGGUUCGGAAUAACUCCCCGAAAGGGGGGCUAAUACCGGAUAAUUUCUUCUGACCAAAGAUUUGUCGCCUUUGGAUGGGCCCGAGUUGGAUUAGCUAGUUGGUAGGGUAAAAGCCUACGAAGGCGACGAUCCAUAGCUGGUCUGAGAGGAUGAUCAGCCACACUGGGACUGAGACACGGCCCAGAAUCCUACGGGAGGCAGCAGUGGGGAAUAUUGGAAAAUGGGCGAAAGCAUGAUCCAGCAAUGCCGCGUGAGUGAUGAAGGCCUUAGGGUUGUAAAGCUCUUUUACCCGGGAUGAUAAUGACAGUACCGGGAGAAUAAGCUCCGGCUAACUCCGUG
This 433-nucleotide ribosomal RNA is filed under the name uncultured bacterium. RNAcentral's name for it is "partial 16S ribosomal RNA". It matches the Rfam family "Bacterial small subunit ribosomal RNA", at positions 29 to 507 of the family's 1533-position model. The record is from RNAcentral.